ACUCGAGUGGCGAACGGGUGAGUAACACGUGGGUGAUCCGCCCUGCACUUCGGGAUAAGCCUGGGAAACUGGGUCUAAUACCGGAUAGGAGCCAUUUUUAGUGUGAUGGUUGGAAAGUUUUUCGGUGUAGGAUGAGCUCGCGGCCUAUCAGCUUGUUGGUGGGGUAAUGGCCUACCAAGGCGGCGACGGGUAGCCGGCCUGAGAGGGUGGACGGCCACAUUGGGACUGAGAUACGGCCCAG
This 241-nucleotide ribosomal RNA is filed under the name uncultured Actinomycetales bacterium. RNAcentral's name for it is "partial 16S ribosomal RNA". It matches the Rfam family "Bacterial small subunit ribosomal RNA", at positions 89 to 334 of the family's 1533-position model. Lineage: Bacteria; Bacillati; Actinomycetota; Actinomycetes; Actinomycetales. The record is from RNAcentral.